Long non-coding RNA from Bombus huntii, 3377 nucleotides. RefSeq lists it as uncharacterized. Lineage: Eukaryota; Metazoa; Arthropoda; Insecta; Hymenoptera; Apidae. The record is from RefSeq and is a predicted model, not a curated record. The transcript has 3 exons.
UUCCGCUGAUAUCGGUUUCUAAGGGUGGGUGGGUGGGGGGGGGGGGGUGUUCUCUGAAACGUCCACAUCUUUGUUCACGCGGCACUUUCCGUAAGAAAAUUCAACGCAAAACAAUACGUCGGUGGUAUGCGAGUACUCUAGCGAAUGCUACAAACGUUAUACGAAGACAUUUGUUAAAAACUUAUUUCUUCGUUUAAUCUUGUAAAUCUGUUUUGCAGAUGAAGAGUUUACGCGAGUAAUGGUAGGCAGAUUAACAAAAGAUAUAGCGGGACGGUACAGUGCGACGCGGCGCUCACAUUGCCCUCUAUCUAAGUACAUAUAAUACAUCGUCCACCUCUUCACGUGGGAAUAUUGAUUUCGCCGCGUCAGCUGCUCGCUCAGUUGCUCGACUUUGCUUGCCUAUUCGUCGACCGUUCGUCCUCCGUUGUUCGCCGCGAACGCGCGCGCGUUUACUCGCCGCUUGCCCAAUCUAAUUCGUACACUUGUUCUACCACUUUAUACGUUAAUUUGCAUUGCUCAUCUACCACGUGUUUCCCACCUCGCAAACGUCACGCGAUUAUCGUUCGUUUAACGAGCCUGUUUCUAUGUCACGAUCAAUUAUUACCUUUUACAAAAAACAGGAUUUUCACUUUUUUUAAUAUUUACCGUACAUGCGAAUAUUUCAACCGUACGAAACGUUCUAAAAUGUAUCGUUGAUUUACAUUUUUAACGUGGCGAUUCUUCGUAUUUAAUUUUAGGGAUCAUCGACGUUACCUAACCUUUACUUAUAUUUUCCUAUGGAGAAAACAGAUUGAUUUUCAAAUACAUUGUGGAAAAUAACCUGUAAAACACGCGUGGAGCCCUGGUCCGAGGUCAAGCGUGAAUCAUCUUUCGUGAUUCAACGAGUAAAAUGAAAAAUUAUUGGUAAUCGCCAUCACGUAGAACCAAUUAAUUUUAAUAACGAUUUAUACAAGGGUCAGACGCACAAAUAUAGACGCACAAAAUGGAAACAGGGAGAGGUUAGAAAAUGAGAAGUUAGGUGACAUAGGCAAUGAAGGAAACGUUACAUAGCGAGAGGAAGUGUUUUGGCUACCGCUAGUAGCUCGUCCUAUAUUUCCGAUAUGAAUAUAUUACAAGAAGUAGCAUAGUGUUAUUUCGUCGGACCAUUCUUUCACACUGUCCAUUCCUGUGUUGCCACGGUAACAGCCUAGAUUCGAGAGGUUGGGAGAUGCGAACCCACAGAGCAGAGACAAAGGGUAGCGCGUGCGCUCAUUCGUUGGUCCGCCUACAUAUUUGUACAUCUACACGCUUAUACACGUACACGGAUACUGGUAAAAUCUGUCCAGAAGAAGAACAGAAGAGAAAGAAGAAGAGAACCAUUGUCGCUCGAUCGUGUCCUUUUGUUACAUAUUUCCGGUAGCAGGGCUUACAACGGACGUAAACAAUCCAUUGAAAUAUACGGGAAUGUUCCCGUCUUUGUACACGCGUAUAGCCGACCAGUUCCGAUUUAACAAAGUCGACGAACACUCGACCAAUUUCCUUUCCCUGAAAACAUACUUGUCGCGCGACUAUUCACUUUCAAUUUGUGUUCGGCUAAUAAUUUCCGCGUUCUCGUAUCGGAUCGCUUUUCGAACAUUUGUUGCCUACUGCGAUCGAUGAAAACCAGGUCACGCUUUUCCUCGUAUCAAGAAGACAGGUAAAGUCAAACGAGGCCAUUCGUCCUCGUAAUCACGCACGAACAAUCUUGCUAACGUUUUACUUUAAAUAGCCAACAUUAACAAAUUUAAACGACCGCUUGCAUAUUUAUCGCAUAAUCGACGCGAUAUAUUCGCAACACAUAUUACUUUAAACAAGAGACUUUGGAAAAUAUAUUACGGCGCAUGUCGUGCUUAAUGUAAAGAGAAUUCAAAGUUCAAAGAUCGUACCACGUGUAAUUCCUUGCGCAAAAUAUUGUAACCUCGCUGAUCGUGCAACGUUUCUCCAGGUAUUACUUGUAUAUCGUUCAACGGAUAGAAAGUUUGAUUACUUGAUAAAAUACCGUAAAACAAGAACUAGUCGGUUUCGCGUCAGUUAACGCCGAUUCUUCUAGAUACAUAUUUUUCCAGAUUUUGCAAACGUAUUUUCUCGAAAAGCAUUCGAAAAGUGCACGUAGGAAUUUCGAGAAAUUAUCGCAAGAUUAGUGAAAGGCGACUAUUGUAAGAUUUCGAAAGAAGAUUUCACUUUUAAUUCUACAUUACGUACGAUACGAAACGAGAAGAGGCGAGAAUAAACGAAAGAAGGGAAUGGAUACUUGAUAUCGUCUAAUGUAAAUAAAAUACGAAUACAAUCGUAACAGUGCCUAAACAGUAAAUAUGAAAUAUUCGAAAUUUGUUAAAUUUCUACUCCUUUCUUUAUCGUUCUCAUAUUUUGAAUACUUAACCUUGAAACUGAUAUACAUAUUGAUAUUUUCACUGAUGCUUGACCAACGAAAAAAGUGGGAUUAUCGCAAGAAUUUCGAGCGUGACCCGACCUUGUCCUAAAUUUCAUUGCUCCUGAGCCUUUCGAGAAUUCAGCAAACCAGCUCCCUCUAGCUAGGGCAGUGUUUUUCAAACUGCAGGAUGUGACUCAUUGGAAGGUUGUAAAAUCGAUACGGUAGUUUAUAUAAUAUACACGCGCGCGCGCGCGCACUACAAUAAAAUUAUCUGCCUAUAAUACGGCAAAGAACGAAUGAUCGAAGAAAAUAUUACGAAAUGAAAUUGAUCGGAAAAUCAUGAAACGUACGUAAGAGAUAUUUUAUUUGAAAGAUUAUCAAUAUUUACUUUGUACUAUUUAGAGGAUUUCGUUGAUAUGAAAUCGAGACUCGAGAGAAACAAUUUGAAAUUAGGAAAGAUUCGAAUAUAUAGGUACGAUAGCAAGAUCGAAAUGAAACGAAAACGCGGACAAAUAAGAAACUAAAUUUCCAACGAUUUUAAUUGAUUCGGGCGUAUGCAUAUGACACGCGUAGAACGCAUUUCAGUAGAUUAGCAAGCAAUGGAUAGCUACAGCGAUGGAAAGUGAAAGUACCUCCGUCUAGCGACCAACGUUUCGUUUCCAUGUACUUUAUUCGACCUGCUAUGAUACAACGUAUCUUUGUAUUAUACGUAAUAAUAUCGUUACGCGAAACACUUGCUCGGUUAAAGCAGACGAUCUAGCAAGAGGUAACAACGAACAGUUACAAACAGUUUAAAACUCGUAUGUCUAACGAUUUCUAGAAUUUAUCGUAGUUGGUACCGUUAAAAACCGAUUAUUAAAAGCCGUUAUCGAAGAUACGCGGCAAAGCUAUAGGUAACUCGCGUAUUUUCAAACACGGCACGAUAACCGUUAAAAGUAUCGGACUCGUUACGCAUAGGAUAAUGAUAUGAUUCAUACUCGUUGGUUAA